GUAAAUUAUAUGAACUCCAAAAUCUCAUAUUAUAAGACUAGUAAACCACAGGCUUCUCAAUUCUUGUAUGAUAAUGAACUAGGUGAAAACCUAGAGCUGACCGAGUGCGAGAUCCUCAUGGAUAAUCAUCGAGGUCGUUAAACACCCCUUGCAGUAAACUUUGGUUAAAUUUAAAAAAAAAUCGAAAUGUAAUAGUCUGAACACAUUUCACCGCUCAUUCCACUAAAUAUUAAAUUGCAGUUACAAGUAUCACAAAACUUCCCUGACCUCUUUUCUUUAACCAUAAUAGAGGGAGGAGGGGAGGAGGGAUCCAGAUCCUGAAAUCCCGGGCUUAAAAACACGAAAUCCGGCGAGGUCCCGAAUUAAAAAAAAAAUCAAAUCCCGACUACCCGAAAUUCGGAAAUAGAAUUCCCGGAUCCCGGAGUUCCGAUAAAGGUCCUACCCCUCCCCCCCCGUAAUUCUAUAUUCUAUUCAUUCUUAAUCUUGAAUUGAGACUUGAUACUUCAAAAUUACAUUCUCUAAUUUUGAAUGAUGCACACAGGCACAAUAAAAGAAAACAGAUUUCGCUAUAUAUCUCUUCGAAAUUGGAAUUUGUGAAAGAAGAAAUGACAUGUUAUAUUUUAUCUUACAUGUGUACUUUCAAUUUCAAUAUGGUUCUAAAUUUAGAUUUAGUUUUCCCAUAAAUUGCGGACGGAAUAGAAGACACCUGUUUAUUUUCUGCACAUGUAGAAAAAGUUGAAAACUGGGAGUUGAAUGACAUAAUUUUUACUUAUUUUAAGAUAAAUGUUAGAAUUUUUAAGUUACUGAGUAAUUUUUGGGGCAUAAUUUGUUUAUUUUUUGUUUGUUUUCCGUCUUUGUUCUUCCGACUUGUAAGUGUUGCACUAGUGAUCAAAUUAUUCUCUUGGUAUCGUCUGAUUUCUUAUAUGAAUAUAAGUCAUGUCCUUAAAUUUUCAAUUGCACAAAAUACGAACAUUUCAACGUCUUUUUGAUUAAACAAUUAAAUUCACACGUCUUUCAUUAAUUAUUUGUAACCUAUUAUAAAACUUUACGUUGAGUACUGUGUUUUUCGUUCAAGACUACGGCUUUUUAAAACGAUAUUGUUGGGUCAAUUCAGGUUUCAUUUUAAUUAAUUUGAUAUCAAUAGAAGAAAAUUUGUUACAUGUUUAUUUGUUUAUUUGUUUAUAAUUUUGUUGUGAGGCGUUUUUUCUUUCUGUUGAUAUCAUAAACACGAAAUGCCUUCUCCUACGCGUCUAAAAAAAAAAAAAAAACAAAAAAAAAACAGUGUUUUUAAGUCAGGCUGCACACAGAACAACGUACAGAAUGCUGUGAUUUCUAAUUGGAGUUAUUUAGAUAAUUUCUAUGAGGUUUAAGACAGCACAGGCGUGCUUGUUGGAUUCAUUAUAGACCG
RNAcentral lists this long non-coding RNA (1408 nucleotides) under Mytilus galloprovincialis (Mediterranean mussel). Lineage: Eukaryota; Metazoa; Mollusca; Bivalvia; Mytilida; Mytilidae. The record is from RNAcentral.